This 816-nucleotide ribosomal RNA is filed under the name uncultured Alphaproteobacteria bacterium. RNAcentral describes it as "bacterial SSU rRNA". It matches the Rfam family "Bacterial small subunit ribosomal RNA", at positions 33 to 888 of the family's 1533-position model. Lineage: Bacteria; Pseudomonadati; Pseudomonadota; Alphaproteobacteria. The record is from RNAcentral.
ACGCUUGCUGCAUGCUUUAUACAUGCAAGUCGAACGGAGGCCCUAGCUUGCUAGGUGUCCUUAGUGGCGCACGGGUGAGUAACACGUGGGAACAUACCUUAUAGUACGGAAUAACUGCGGGAAACUGUAGCUAAUACCGUAUAUUCCAGAAAUGGGAAAGAUUUAUCGCUAUAAGAUUGGCCCGCGCAAGAUUAGCUUGUUGGUGAGGUAAAAGCUCACCAAGGCUUCGAUCUUUAGCUGGUUUGAGAGGACGAUCAGCCACACUGGGACUGAGACACGGCCCAGACUCCUACGGGAGGCAGCAGUAGGGAAUAUUGGACAAUGGGGGCAACCCUGAUCCAGCAAUGCAGCGUGAGUGACGAAGGCCUUAGGGUUGUAAAACUCUUUCAUCGGUGAGGAUAAUGACAGUAGCCGAAGAAGAAGGACCGGCUAAUUCCGUGCCAGCAGCCGCGGUAAUACGGAAGGUCCUAGCGUUGUUCGGAAUUACUGGGCGUAAAGCGCAUGUAGGCGGAACAGAAAGUUAGAAGUGAAAUCCCUGGGCUCAACCUAGGAAUUGCUUUUAAAACUUCUGUUCUGGAAUUCAGGAGAGGAAAAUGGAAUUUCCAGUGUAGAGGUGAAAUUCGUAGAUAUUGGAAGGAACACCAGUGGCGAAGGCGAUUUUCUGGACUGAUAUUGACGCUGAGAUGCGAAGGCAUGGGUAGCAAACGGGAUUAGAUACCCCGGUAGUCCAUGCAGUAAACGAUGGGUGCUAGUCGUCGGACUUUUGUUCGGUGUCGUAGCUAACGCGUUAAGCACCCCGCCUGGGGAGUACGGUCG